RNAcentral lists this ribosomal RNA (726 nucleotides) under Levilactobacillus brevis. RNAcentral describes it as "bacterial SSU rRNA". It matches the Rfam family "Bacterial small subunit ribosomal RNA", at positions 51 to 742 of the family's 1533-position model. The record is from RNAcentral. Lineage: Bacteria; Bacillati; Bacillota; Bacilli; Lactobacillales; Lactobacillaceae.
AUACAUGCAAGUCGAACGAGCUUCCGUUGAAUGACGUGCUUGCACUGAUUUCAACAAUGAAGCGAGUGGCGAACUGGUGAGUAACACGUGGGGAAUCUGCCCAGAAGCAGGGGAUAACACUUGGAAACAGGUGCUAAUACCGUAUAACAACAAAAUCCGCAUGGAUUUUGUUUGAAAGGUGGCUUCGGCUAUCACUUCUGGAUGAUCCCGCGGCGUAUUAGUUAGUUGGUGAGGUAAAGGCCCACCAAGACGAUGAUACGUAGCCGACCUGAGAGGGUAAUCGGCCACAUUGGGACUGAGACACGGCCCAAACUCCUACGGGAGGCAGCAGUAGGGAAUCUUCCACAAUGGACGAAAGUCUGAUGGAGCAAUGCCGCGUGAGUGAAGAAGGGUUUCGGCUCGUAAAACUCUGUUGUUAAAGAAGAACACCUUUGAGAGUAACUGUUCAAGGGUUGACGGUAUUUAACCAGAAAGCCACGGCUAACUACGUGCCAGCAGCCGCGGUAAUACGUAGGUGGCAAGCGUUGUCCGGAUUUAUUGGGCGUAAAGCGAGCGCAGGCGGUUUUUUAAGUCUGAUGUGAAAGCCUUCGGCUUAACCGGAGAAGUGCAUCGGAAACUGGGAGACUUGAGUGCAGAAGAGGACAGUGGAACUCCAUGUGUAGCGGUGGAAUGCGUAGAUAUAUGGAAGAACACCAGUGGCGAAGGCGGCUGUCUAGUCUGUAACUG